Long non-coding RNA from Neofelis nebulosa (Clouded leopard), 694 nucleotides. RefSeq lists it as uncharacterized. The transcript is spliced from 5 exons. The record is from RefSeq and is a predicted model, not a curated record. Lineage: Eukaryota; Metazoa; Chordata; Mammalia; Carnivora; Felidae.
UGAUAUAGAGAGGACUUUUUUCAACACAAAACCACUGUCAAGUGCUCAGAUAGAAUUCUGAUUUUUUUUUUCCUGACUCUCACAAGCAGACAUUUUUUUUCACUUCAUUCAUUCAACAAAUAUAUUUUUGAAUGCCAGACACAUCCCAGGCACUGUUCUAGGCACUGCAGUAAACAAAGCUGACUGAGUGAUAGAUGCAGAAAAUAACCCAGAGAAAAGAGAUAUUAUGACAUUGCAAGAGGAUGAUAUUUAUUAAGGGGUAACCAAGAAAAACCACUAUGCAAAGUUGACAAUUAUGCUGAUGCCUGAAGGAAGGAAGCAAACAAAGAAGGUUUCUCAUUCUGGCUAGAGAGAAAAUGGCUAUGUGAGGAUGCACUUUCCCCAUUUUACAGAUGAUCAAACUAAAAGCCAGGGAGUUUGAGUGAGUUAAGUGGCAGAAGACCUGGCAUGAAGACUUCUGAUUUGGUCUCACUGAGGUCCUCCACUCAUUUCUCAAGUCCUACGAGCAGUUCCAAGAUGCAGGAAAGGGGCAGGAGACUGGGCUGGACUCCAGGUCCUUUAGCAAAGUUCUUUUCCUAAAAUUCAUCUGAUCUCAGCUGUUAUAAAGGCAGAGAAUAGUUUUCCCAGUGACAUGAAGAAAAAGAGAGCAGCAGUGUCAGCAGAACGAAAAGAACCCCAAGGCCUGAAUACCUAU